AACACAUGCAAGUCGAGGGGCAGCGGGAACUUAGCUUGCUAAGUUUGCCGGCGACCGGCGCACGGGUGAGUAACACGUAUCCAACCUUCCCUCCACUCCGGGACAGCCUUUCGAAAGAAAGAUUAAUACCGGAUGGCAUGGUUUUCCCGCAUGGGAUUUCCAUUAAAGAUUUAUCGGUGGCGGAUGGGGAUGCGUUCCAUUAGGCAGUUGGCGGGGUAACGGCCCACCAAACCUACGAUGGAUAGGGGUUCUGAGAGGAAGGUCCCCCACAUUGGAACUGAGACACGGUCCAAACUCCUACGGGAGGCAGCAGUGAGGAAUAUUGGUCAAUGGCCGGGAGGCUGAACCAGCCAAGUAGCGUGAAGGAUGACCGCCCUACGGGUUGUAAACUUCUUUUAUACGGGAAUAACAUCCGCCACGUGUGGCGGCCUGCAUGUACCGUAUGAAUAAGCAUCGGCUAACUCCGUGCCAGCAGCCGCGGUAAUACGGAGGAUGCGAGCGUUAUCCGGAUUUAUUGGGUUUAAAGGGAGCGUAGACGGGUCUUUAAGUCAGUUGUGAAAGUUUGCGGCUCAACCGUAAAAUUGCAGUUGAUACUGGAGACCUUGAGUGCGGCAGAGGCAGGCGGAAUUCGUGGUGUAGCGGUGAAAUGCUUAGAUAU
Molecule: ribosomal RNA, 658 nt
Filed under: uncultured Bacteroidota bacterium
Lineage: Bacteria; Pseudomonadati; Bacteroidota
Description: bacterial SSU rRNA
Rfam family: Bacterial small subunit ribosomal RNA
Source: RNAcentral